UACGUGGCAGCGAGCGUUGUUCGGAGUUACUGGGCGUGAAGGGUGUGUAGGCGGUCCUCUAAGUUUGGUGUGAAAUCUCCCGGCUCAACCGGGAGGGUGCGCCGAAAACUGGGGGGCUAGAGUGCGGGAUGGGUAAGUGGAAUUCCUGGUGUAGCGGUGAAAUGCGCAGAUAUCAGGAGGAACACCGGUGGCGAAGGCGGGUCUCUGGACAGUUCCUGACACUGAGACACGAAGGCCAGGGGAGCAAACGGG
RNAcentral lists this ribosomal RNA (252 nucleotides) under uncultured bacterium. Its description in RNAcentral is "partial 16S ribosomal RNA". It matches the Rfam family "Bacterial small subunit ribosomal RNA", at positions 524 to 776 of the family's 1533-position model. The record is from RNAcentral.